RNAcentral lists this transfer RNA (87 nucleotides) under Cordylochernes scorpioides. RNAcentral's name for it is "tRNA-Tyr". It matches the Rfam family "tRNA". Rfam says of the family: Transfer RNA (tRNA) molecules are approximately 80 nucleotides in length. Their secondary structure includes four short double-helical elements and three loops (D, anti-codon, and T loops). The record is from RNAcentral. Lineage: Eukaryota; Metazoa; Arthropoda; Arachnida; Pseudoscorpiones; Chernetidae.
CCCUCGAUAGCUCAGUUGGCAGAGAGGACGACUGUAGAUGUUACAACAGUGAUCCUUAGGUCGCUGGUUCAAAUCCGGCUCGAGGGA